Melitaea cinxia (Glanville fritillary) is the source of this 253-nucleotide long non-coding RNA. RefSeq lists it as uncharacterized. The record is from RefSeq and is a predicted model, not a curated record. The transcript is spliced from 2 exons. NCBI's taxonomy places the organism in Eukaryota, Metazoa, Arthropoda, Insecta, Lepidoptera, Nymphalidae.
GGUCCUCUGUGUGGACCUCGCCGCGGGGGCCGCGCACCGCUAGGUGUGCGACCGGCCGCCCCGGGCCCCGCGAUACACACUUCCAAAAAAACACAGCAUAUCACCAUCGCUACAAGAUUUCAAAACUAGUGUUAAGUGAAGUGUUCUCGUUUCGAAAUUAUGUGGGUUUCGGGUGCGUACUGACUUUAAAAAGUGAGUUUCUGAAUAAACAAUAUAUGGUCAACAUAUUAUUAUAUUAUACUUAAUUAUGAAA